Molecule: RNA transcript, 2760 nt
Organism: Balaenoptera ricei (Rice's whale)
Lineage: Eukaryota; Metazoa; Chordata; Mammalia; Artiodactyla; Balaenopteridae
Gene name: phospholipid scramblase 4-like
Exons: 5
Source: RefSeq, a predicted model, not a curated record
AGCCAGCAUCAGCUCCCACCUGGAUUACUGCUGCUAUUCCUCCUCCACUGCUUCUACUUCCGCCCCCUCAAGACAAAGUUUAAAUCAGAUUUGAUCACUCCACUGAUUAAAGCCCCCCGAAGACUCUCCAGCUGCAAUUACAACAGAUUCCAAACAUUUUGCCAUGAAUUUCAGGUCUAGUACCCACAAACUUGAUCAACCUAUAGAUGAAAUGGAAGAUAAAACAGAGUCCCUGGAUUUAAUACCUGAUGCUCCUCCUGACUACAACUGCCACUUAAAUUCAUCAGAUACAAAUCCUGAUGCCCCUCCAGAAUACAAUUCCUGUUUUGUACUUGGGCCCCCAGACCAGCUGUCCCUCCACCUGCAUGCUACCCAGGAGGCUUGCCAGCUGGUGGCACCCAUCCUAUACAGUACCAGCCUGGCAGGUCAAAUCACUCAAUGGUGUAUCCAACGUGGGCAGUAUUACUUGGAAGUGGAAUGGUGUGUUAUCUGCAAUGAGCGAUGCUGACCACUUUGAAGUUCCCUUCCCAUUAGACCUGGAUGUGACGAAGAAAGCCAUCUUUUCUGGAGCUUGCUUCCUCAUGGAGGGGCCAGAUGCACCAAGUUAUCCUUCACCUAAGAAGAGAUACCUCAACAUGCCCUAUACCAUGGAACUGCUAGAAAUUUCACUGAGGUAGAAGGCCCCUGAAUUUUUGCUGGAUUGUUUUCUACCUUCUGAUAUGCAAAUAUCUUACAGAUAAGUCUAGAGUAGUUUCUGCUUCUUGUUCACUAGGUCCACUCAACAUAAUGUCAUCAGUACAGUGGACCAGUAUGAUAUCUUGUGGAAGAGAAAGGUAAUCAGGAUCCCUGUGAACUAAAUUAUGACAUGGGACUGGAGAGCUGAUAUGCCUGUGAGGUAGGACAGUGAAGGUAUAUUGCUGGUGUUGCCAGCUGAAAGCAAACAACUUCUGGUGGACCUUAGGGACAGAGAUGGAGAAAAAGGCAUUUGCCAUAUCAAUAGCUACAUAGCAGGUACCAGGGGACGUGUUAAUUUGCUCAGAGCAAUGAAACCACAUCUGCUACAGCAACUGCAAUUGGAAUCACCACCUGUUCAAGUUUACGAUAAUCCGCUGUCAUUCUCCAAAAUCCUUCUGUCUUCUUCACAGGCCAAAUAGACAAAUUGAAUGGGUAUGUGGUGGGAAUCACCACCUUUGCAUCUUUCAAGUCCUUGAUGAUGGCACUAAUUUCUGUGAUACCUCCAGGUAUACAGUAUUGAUUUUGGUUUACUAUUUUGCUAGGUAAAAGUGACUCUAAUUGGCUUUUCCUUGGCCUUUUCCACCAUAAUAGGCUUCACUCCACAGGUCAGGGAACCAGUGUAGGGAUUCUGCCAGCUACUGAGUAUUUCUUCCAGUUACGCAUUCUGAACUGGGGAAAUAACAACAGGGCGGUUUCAGGGACCCAUUAUUUCCUUUUCUUCAAUGCACAGUUACCCUAGUAAAAGGCCAUAGGUUCCAUAGGCAAGGCUUAGGGAAAUAUUAAUAGUAUAAAUUUUUGGUAAUGUCUCAGGGUCCUUCCUCCAGGGGACCCGGCCUCCUCUUUAUUCAAGGACUUUUGAAUCUAUAAACUGACUCAAGUCCGGGAGUUGAUUGAGUGUUAGUAACCCUCUGUUUUUAUGAUUCAGUUUUGACUGUUGUUCACUUGACCUAGAACUCUUCUACUGCAAGUGUAAGACAUCAGGGAGUGAAGGAAGGUAGGGGAACUGACAGUGCAGCCCAGUCUAAUGUCUCUCAAAUUAAAAUACAAACAAGCAAACUACAGUGCUGACCAGAUCCCAAUAUGUGGACUGGCCUGAUUAGGGCCAAAAGACUCCAUAUGCAUCAAUCUAGCAAGAGUAUUUUCACACCUAUGCACUACUUUUAAGAAAUAAAUGGUUUAUAAAUAAAAAUUAGGUACUUAAUUUAUCAUAAGCAGCAGUAUUUCCUUAUGAUUAAAAUAAGGACUAUGGAAAUAAAUAUCCAAUUAGAGUUAGCGUCCCAGCUCUACCACUUGUUACUCCGUGCCUCACUUUCCUCUUAGAUCCAUGCUUGGGGGAGUCAUAUUAACCUCUCUAUGCCCUAGUUUUCCCCUGUGUAAGAUAGGAAGAAUAAUAGUACUUACCUACAUGAGUUGAUUUGACGAUUAAAUAUGUUAUUAUAUAUAAAGUGCUUAGGACCAUGCCUGGCACACAGUAAGCACUACAGAAGUAGUAGCUAUUAUUAUGUUACUAACUUUUCCUUUUUAAAGUGAAGGUCUGUUAUUAACUUGAUAUAUGAGAUUGCUAUGACGCCUGCCAUAGUUCAGUUUUUUAGAAAGCAUUUAAUUGCAUUCCUUUGUAAAAAAUACUUUAAAGUAUUGUUUCUAGUUUGAUUUUGGAUCAACAGAAAUAGAACAAAUGUAUCCCCUACAGCUAACCCUUAAGCUAAGGAUUUCUUAGAGCAGAGGUUCUCAAACUUAAUUGUACAUCAGAAUCACCUGGAGCGUUUGUUAAAGUACAGAUUUCUGGGCCCAUCUCCAGAGUUCCUCAUUCAGUACAUUUAGGGAACAACCUGAGGUUUUGCAUUUCUAAGUAUUUCCAGUAUAAUGCUGAUCCUGCUGGGCUGGGGAUGACUCUUGAGAGCUGUUGUCUUAGUGAACAAAAUUCAAUGUUUGUUAAGGAAAGAAUUUUGAAAAUUUAGUUAAGUUUUUCUCUCUGUGUAUAUUAUGUCUAUAUACAUAUACAUAUAUAUAGUAAUUACUUGAAAG